GAUGCCAGGAUCAAAAGGCCUAAGCCCACAUGAGCUUGCUCAUAGGUGGGCGUAAGGCUUUGGGAUCCGCCCCAAUAUGAGCAUAAAAGUGGGAUGUAUAUCCCACGAUAUGCGAAUAUUGGGUAGGAUUGUGGGAGUGCGCAGCACGAAACAAUCCGUAGGCAUC
Molecule: small RNA, 166 nt
Filed under: chicken gut metagenome
Description: Clostridiales-1 RNA
Rfam family: Clostridiales-1 RNA
Source: RNAcentral